RNAcentral lists this ribosomal RNA (442 nucleotides) under uncultured bacterium. RNAcentral's name for it is "partial 16S ribosomal RNA". It matches the Rfam family "Bacterial small subunit ribosomal RNA", at positions 338 to 795 of the family's 1533-position model. The record is from RNAcentral.
CCUACGGGAGGCAGCAGUGGGGAAUAUUGCACAAUGGGGGGAACCCUGAUGCAGCAAUGCCGCGUGAAGGAUGAAGGUUUUCGGAUUGUAAACUUCUUUUGUACGGGACGAAGAAAGUGACGGUACCGUAAGAAUAAGCCACGGCUAACUACGUGCCAGCAGCCGCGGUAAUACGUAGGUGGCAAGCGUUAUCCGGAUUUACUGGGUGUAAAGGGCGAGUAGGGGGGAUUGCAAGUCAGAGGUAAAAACUAUGGGCUCAACCGAAGGGGGGGAUUGGAAACUGCGGUUUUUGGGUGAUGGGAAGCAGGUGGAAUUCCCGGUGUAGCGGUGGAAUGCGUAGAUAACGGGAAGAACACCAGUUGCGAAGGCAGCCUGCUGGACAUUAACUGACGCUGAGGCGCGAAAGCGUGGGGAGCCAACAGGAUUAGAUACCCCUGUAGUC